GGCCCGGUAGCAAACGGACCGCACCUGCACCGAAUGAUCCCUUCAGACGCAACCAGCAGGAGUGCUCGUUCGACUCGAGCCCGGGCCA
Non-coding RNA from Mycena vulgaris, 88 nucleotides. The record is from the annotation of a GenBank genome assembly. NCBI's taxonomy places the organism in Eukaryota, Fungi, Basidiomycota, Agaricomycetes, Agaricales, Mycenaceae.